AAGUCGUAACAAGGUAACCGUAGGUGAACCUGCGGUUGGAUCAUUAACAAAAAGAUAAAAGUCGGGCCUAAAAACCCCGGCUUUUAUAAACACCUGUGAACUGUAAUUGUAUCUGGUGGGUUAAAAGAGGUGGAAACACCUUGAUGAUUUUAAAUCAUUACCCACCGUCAAAUUUUUGAACUCGUAUAUCUUGAACUAGUUUUUAUUAAUUUAAAAAACAACAACUUUUGACAACGGAUCUCUAGGCUCUC
This 251-nucleotide unclassified non-coding RNA is filed under the name fungal sp. Its description in RNAcentral is "partial internal transcribed spacer region". The stretch from base 1 to 46 matches the Rfam family "Eukaryotic small subunit ribosomal RNA", at positions 1786 to 1831 of the family's 1831-position model. The record is from RNAcentral. Lineage: Eukaryota; Fungi.